UUGCUUCAGCAGCAUAUAUACUAAAAUUGGAAUGAUACAGAGAAGAUUAGCAUGGCCCCUGAGCAAGGAUGACAUGCAAAUUUGUGAAGUGCUCCAUAUUUUA
Molecule: small nuclear RNA, 103 nt
Filed under: Jaculus jaculus (lesser Egyptian jerboa)
Lineage: Eukaryota; Metazoa; Chordata; Mammalia; Rodentia; Dipodidae
Source: RNAcentral